UGAAGGGAAAAGAAGAAAAAGGCAAGCGGAUUCGAGGAGGGGGGAAAGAGUGGAAAGACGUUCCACCGUGACGUGCGAGAUAAUAGUUUGCCUCUAGGCAGGGCGUAUUUUUCUCUCUUUCUUUUUUGAGGUUCUUCUUUAUUACUCUUGAUUGGUGUGAUUUUGUAGAAUAGACAAGGGAGAGAGUUACAGAA
RNAcentral lists this non-coding RNA (194 nucleotides) under Amorphochlora amoebiformis. Lineage: Eukaryota; Cercozoa; Chlorarachniophyceae. The record is from RNAcentral.